CGUGGGUACCUGCCUCAUAGAGUGGAAUAGCCUUCCGAAAGGAAGAUUAAUACCGCAUAAUGUUGAAAGAUGGCAUCAUCAUUCAACCAAAGGAGCAAUCCGCUAUGAGAUGGACCCGCGGCGCAUUAGCUAGUUGGUGGGGUAACGGCCUACCAAGGCGACGAUGCGUAGCCGACCUGAGAGGGUGAUCGGCCACAUUGGGACUGAGACACGGCCCAG
This 219-nucleotide ribosomal RNA is filed under the name uncultured bacterium. Its description in RNAcentral is "partial 16S ribosomal RNA". It matches the Rfam family "Bacterial small subunit ribosomal RNA", at positions 116 to 334 of the family's 1533-position model. The record is from RNAcentral.